CGGACGGGUGAGUAAUGUCUGGGAAACUGCCUGAUGGAGGGGGAUAACUGCUGGAAACGGUAGCUAAUACCGCAUAACGUCGCAAGACCAAAGAGGGGGACCUUCGGGCCCCUUGCCAUCGGAUGUGCCCAGAUGGGAUUAGCUAGUAGGUGGGGUAACGGCUCACCUAGGCGACGAUCCCUAGCUGGUCUGAGAGGAUGACCAGCCACACUGGAACUGAGACACGGUCCAG
Molecule: ribosomal RNA, 232 nt
Filed under: uncultured bacterium
Lineage: Bacteria
Description: partial 16S ribosomal RNA
Rfam family: Bacterial small subunit ribosomal RNA
Source: RNAcentral